CAGGAGUAACUAUGACUCUUUUAGGUAGCCAAUGCCUCGUCAUCUAAUUAGUGACGCGCAUGAAUGGAUUAACGAGAUUCUCACUGUCCCUAUCUACUAUCUAGCGAACCACAGC
Molecule: unclassified non-coding RNA, 115 nt
Filed under: Megoura crassicauda
Lineage: Eukaryota; Metazoa; Arthropoda; Insecta; Hemiptera; Aphididae
Rfam family: Eukaryotic large subunit ribosomal RNA
Source: RNAcentral